AUUGAACGCUGGCGGCAGGCCUAACACAUGCAAGUCGAGCGGAUGAAGGGAGCUUGCUCCUGGAUUCAGCGGCGGACGGGUGAGUAAUGCCUAGGAAUCUGCCUGGUAGUGGGGGAUAACGUCCGGAAACGGGCGCUAAUACCGCAUACGUCCUGAGGGAGAAAGUGGGGGAUCUUCGGACCUCACGCUAUCAGAUGAGCCUAGGUCGGAUUAGCUAGUUGGUGGGGUAAAGGCCUACCAAGGCGACGAUCCGUAACUGGUCUGAGAGGAUGAUCAGUCACACUGGAACUGAGACACGGUCCAGACUCCUACGGGAGGCAGCAGGGGGGAAUAUUGGACAAUGGGCGAAAGCCUGAUCCAGCCAUGCCGCGUGUGUGAAGAAGGUCUUCCGAUUGUAAAGCACUUUAAGUUGGGAGGAAGGGCAGUAAGUUAAUACCUUGCUGUUUUGACGUUACCAACAGAAUAAGCACCGGCUAACUUCGUG
RNAcentral lists this ribosomal RNA (484 nucleotides) under uncultured bacterium. RNAcentral describes it as "partial 16S ribosomal RNA". It matches the Rfam family "Bacterial small subunit ribosomal RNA", at positions 30 to 507 of the family's 1533-position model. The record is from RNAcentral.